GAUUUCUGGUUCGGCGCACUUGGCCCGCCUCGGUUUACGGGGUUGUGUGCCGGCGUCCGCCAUCCAUCCUUCGGGUGAACCGGCCUGCCCUUCACUGGGUUUGGUCCGGCUUGAUCCCGAUCUUUUACUUUGAAAAAAUUAGAGUGUUUCAAGCAGGCUUUAUGCUAUGAAUACAUUAGCAUGGAAUAAUAAUUUAGGACUUCGGUUCUAUUUUGUUGGUUUCUAGGACUGAAGUAAUGAUUGAUAGGGAUAGUUGGGGGUGCUAGUAUUCAGCGGCCAGAGGUGAAAUUCUCGGAUUCGCUGAAGACUAACUUAUGCGAAAGCAUU
RNAcentral lists this ribosomal RNA (327 nucleotides) under Cercomonas sp. Its description in RNAcentral is "SSU rRNA". The stretch from base 114 to 327 matches the Rfam family "Eukaryotic small subunit ribosomal RNA", at positions 741 to 955 of the family's 1831-position model. The record is from RNAcentral. Lineage: Eukaryota; Cercozoa; Cercomonadida; Cercomonadidae.